RNAcentral lists this ribosomal RNA (408 nucleotides) under uncultured bacterium. RNAcentral's name for it is "partial 16S ribosomal RNA". It matches the Rfam family "Bacterial small subunit ribosomal RNA", at positions 28 to 526 of the family's 1533-position model. The record is from RNAcentral.
GACGAACGCUGGCGGCGUGCUUAACACAUGCAAGUCGAACGAAGUGGCGGACGGGUGAGUAACGCGUAAUCAACCUGCCCUUCAGAGGGGGACCACAGUUGGAAACGACUGCUAAUACCGCAUACUGAAGGAGGGGAUUGCGUCUGAUUAGCUAGUUGGGGGGGUAACGGCCCACCAAGGCGAUGAUCAGUAGCCGGUCUGAGAGGAUGAACGGCCACAUGGGGACCGAGACACGGCCCAGACUCCUACGGGAGGGAGCAGUGGGGAAUUUUCCGCAAUGGACGAAAGUCUGACGGAGCAACGCCGCGUGAGUUAUGACGGCCUUCGGGUUGGAAAGCUCUGUUAAUCGGGACGCGGUACCGGAAUAGAAAGCCACGGCUAACUACGUGCCAGCAGCCGCGGUAAUAC